This 494-nucleotide ribosomal RNA is filed under the name uncultured bacterium. RNAcentral describes it as "partial 16S ribosomal RNA". It matches the Rfam family "Bacterial small subunit ribosomal RNA", at positions 28 to 523 of the family's 1533-position model. The record is from RNAcentral.
GAUGAACGCUGGCGGCGUGCUUAACACAUGCAAGUCGAACGGGAGACCUUUUAUUGAAGCUUCGGCAGAUUUAAAUUGUUUCUAGUGGCGGACGGGUGAGUAACGCGUGGGUAACCUGCCUUAUACAGGGGGAUAACAGUCAGAAAUGACUGCUAAUACCGCAUAAGCGCACAGAGCUGCAUGGCUCGGUGUGAAAAACUCCGGUGGUAUAAGAUGGACCCGCGUUGGAUUAGCUAGUUGGUGAGGUAACGGCCCACCAAGGCGACGAUCCAUAGCCAGCCUGAGAGGGUGAACGGCCACAUUGGGACUGAGACACGGCCCAGACUCCUACGGGAGGCAGCAGUGGGGAAUAUUGCACAAUGGGGGAAACCCUGAUGCAGCGACGCCGCGUGAAGGAAGAAGUAUCUCGGUAUGUAAACUUCUAUCAGCAGGGAAGAAAAUGACGGUACCUGACUAAGAAGCCCCGGCUAACUACGUGCCAGCAGCCGCCGUAA